This 865-nucleotide long non-coding RNA is filed under the name Mus spicilegus (steppe mouse). RNAcentral describes it as "lncRNA (ENSMSIG00000010252.1)". Lineage: Eukaryota; Metazoa; Chordata; Mammalia; Rodentia; Muridae. The record is from RNAcentral.
ACAAACUUAGCAAAUCUCCAAGUCCUCAAAUUGAGCUAUUUAAAUGUGGUAAGUAUAUUAUUUCUCUCAUCUGAAGGCUGAGGCAUUGUGUACAUUACCAUUCCCAGCACCUCUAUCUGCUGAGCCAUCUCUCUGGACUCAGCCUGUUACUUGUAAGGCAGAAUUCUCCUCACCCUGAGGUUCAUGUUUGUUUCCACGAGUCUGGAAGCCGCGGAGCCACAGCAACCCUCCUGCAUGUCCAUCUUCUCAGGAUGUCAUCUGGACUUAAAUGAUUCUCACUUGCAUUAACGCAGUAACUAAUUUGAUUAAAUUGUAUGCAUUAAAAAUCACCAAGGAUCCUCUCCUGAUCACUACACGGCUUUUAGACUGGGGAGGGGAGGCUGGGAUUAGCAGAAGGAGACGGAGAACAAGAGGCUCAAAUGAGCAAAGACCAAACAGACAUUCCAGGUGCAACGCACAGGUCCACACAGGGGUUUUCAUGGGAAAACGAUGCUUACAGACCCGUCGGGCAAGUCUGAAAACCAUCAUCAUACGCAAGAUCUGCUCCAGUGGAAAGCAAAUUUUCACAACCUUGUAAAUGGCCCCAAGCGCCAGUGUGGCGAUAAACAUCAACUCAAAAAGCAACACAGAGCAAAAAACCGACUGAAGGAGUAUGAUUCUAUUAAUAGCACCAAUUAGAGAGUUUUACAUGAGAUAGGACAGGAUACUGGGUUAUUUGUUAAUUAAAUAUAUCAAUCUUUUGGUUUGAAAACUACUAAGAAUAGCCUAGAAUAACCCCUUCCAGUUCACUGACUUUCUGAAAGUCAUUGGGGGUGGUGAUAAUUUUGGACAAAUAAAACCUUCAUUGAUCCUAAAAAAUUGGACA